CAAACUCCGAAUGCCAAUUAAUUUAACUUGGGAGUCAGAACAUGGGUGAUAAGGUCCGUGUUCGAAAGGGAAACAGCCCAGACCACCAGCUAAGGUCCCAAAAUAUAUGUUAAGUGGAAAAGGAUGUGGCGUUGCCCAGACAACUAGGAUGUUGGCUUAGAAGCAGCCAUCAUUUAAAGAGUGCGUAAUAGCUCACUAGUCGAGUGACACUGCGCCGAAAAUGUACCGGGGCUAAACAUAUUACCGAAGCUGUGGAUUGUCCUUUGGACAAUGGUAGGAGAGCGUUCUAAGGGCGUUGAAGCAUGAUCGUAAGGACAUGUGGAGCGCUUAGAAGUGAGAAUGCCGGUGUGAGUAGCGAAAGACGGGUGAGAAUCCCGUCCACCGAUUGACUAAGGUUUCCAGAGGAAGGCUCGUCCGCUCUGGGUUAGUCGGGUCCUAAGCUGAGGCCGACAGGCGUAGGCGAUGGAUAACAGGUUGAUAUUCCUGUACCACCUAUAAUCGUUUUAAUCGAUGGGGGGACGCAGUAGGAUAGGCGAAGCGUGCGAUUGGAUUGCACGUCUAAGCAGUAAGGCUGAGUAUUAGGCAAAUCCGGUACUCGUUAAGGCUGAGCUGUGAUGGGGAGAAGACAUUGUGUCUUCGAGUCGUUGAUUUCACACUGCCGAGAAAAGCCUCUAGAUAGAAAAUAGGUGCCCGUACCGCAAACCGACACAGGUAGUCAAGAUGAGAAUUCUAAGGUGAGCGAGCGAACUCUCGUUAAGGAACUCGGCAAAAUGACCCCGUAACUUCGGGAGAAGGGGUGCUCUUUAGGGUUAACGCCCAGAAGAGCCGCAGUGAAUAGGCCCAAGCGACUGUUUAUCAAAAACACAGGUCUCUGCUAAACCGUAAGGUGAUGUAUAGGGGCUGACGCCUGCCCGGUGCUGGAAGGUUAAGAGGAGUGGUUAGCUUCUGCGAAGCUACGAAUCGAAGCCCCAGUAAACGGCGGCCGUAACUAUAACGGUCCUAAGGUAGCGAAAUUCCUUGUCGGGUAAGUUCCGACCCGCACGAAAGGCGUAACGAUUUGGGCACUGUCUCAACGAGAGACUCGGUGAAAUCAUAGUACCUGUGAAGAUGCAGGUUACCCGCGACAGGACGGAAAGACCCCGUGGAGCUUUACUGUAGCCUGAUAUUGAAAUUCGGCACAG
This 1181-nucleotide ribosomal RNA is filed under the name Staphylococcus aureus. RNAcentral's name for it is "partial 23S ribosomal RNA". It matches the Rfam family "Bacterial large subunit ribosomal RNA", at positions 950 to 2132 of the family's 2925-position model. Lineage: Bacteria; Bacillati; Bacillota; Bacilli; Caryophanales; Staphylococcaceae. The record is from RNAcentral.